RNAcentral lists this long non-coding RNA (373 nucleotides) under Sinocyclocheilus anshuiensis. Its description in RNAcentral is "lncRNA (ENSSANG00000024361.1)". Lineage: Eukaryota; Metazoa; Chordata; Actinopteri; Cypriniformes; Cyprinidae. The record is from RNAcentral.
UUUGAUAUGUUGUGUUCAGGUUCAGGGCAUGGUGUGUGAGUUGCGGGCAGGGUUUUCUCGUGCGCUGCUGGCGCUGAAUCAGAUUCAGCAGGGAGACACUGAGCUGCAGAGCCAGCUGGAGGACACAAGACAUGGCUGCAACAAGCGCACCCUUCACCUAGAGAGUCUGGUGCUGUCCCUCAAGGAGGAGCUGGAGGAGGUACGCUGUCAGUUUCGUCAACUCUGUGAGGCACAAGACAGAAAACCACCAGAGAAUCCAGGAAUAGAGAAUAAUGGCGUGGAUGACAGUAGCGGACAGAGUAAUGGUGCUGCAGAGGCUCCUCCCCUCUCACCUGUGGGCGGAGAUUUCCUCAUACACUGUUACCUGCAGGGA